AAAGAUGUGCACAAAUUAAUGCCAAUUGAGGAUCUUCAGUCCUGGAUCUAUGCUCAAUGGAUCAGACUCAUAGCCAGCAUAUUGAUCAGCUCUCCACUCCCAGCAAAAUGAGCACAUCUAGCAACAGAGGCAUGGAAAGGCAAGUGGUUUCCCCUGCUCAUUUCAAGGCAGCAUUUAGCACCUCUCUAGGGACGGGACGUCUGCCUGUGAAGAGUCAACAUGCAGGUGUUCAAGGCAGAGGUGUUUACUGCACCUGUCAGGAGGUGGAGAGGAUGUGGACUGUCGUGGCCAGAACAAGGACCUCUUGCCUGUAUCAAUCCAGGAUGGUCACAACUCAUGACAAAGUAAAUGUAUAUUCUUUGAAAAUUGGCUCUUCUCUGUGUAAAGGAUUUUCACAACUCAUAUCUCCACUAAAAUUGGUUUUAUAUACUAUAGUCAAAGCUUAGUAACAUAACACCUGUCUUCUGGAGUAAGAAUGCUGUUUUCAAAUCUAUGAAUUCACUGUCUUUUAUCUAGCAUGUAUAAAAUAAAUAAGGAAUUAUUUGAGAG
RNAcentral lists this long non-coding RNA (549 nucleotides) under Coturnix japonica (Japanese quail). Its description in RNAcentral is "lncRNA (ENSCJPG00005017678.1)". The record is from RNAcentral. Lineage: Eukaryota; Metazoa; Chordata; Aves; Galliformes; Phasianidae.